Molecule: ribosomal RNA, 429 nt
Filed under: Gemmatimonadota bacterium
Lineage: Bacteria; Pseudomonadati; Gemmatimonadota
Description: Gemmatimonadetes bacterium partial 16S ribosomal RNA
Rfam family: Bacterial small subunit ribosomal RNA
Source: RNAcentral
UAGGGAAUCUUCGGCAAUGGACGAAAGUCUGACCGAGCAACGCCGCGUGAGUGAAGAAGGUUUUCGGAUCGUAAAACUCUGUUGUUAGAGAAGAACAAGGACGUUAGUAACUGAACGUCCCCUGACGGUAUCUAACCAGAAAGCCACGGCUAACUACGUGCCAGCAGCCGCGGUAAUACGUAGGUGGCAAGCGUUGUUCGGAUUUAUUGGGCGUAAAGCGAGCGCAGGCGGUUUCUUAAGUCUGAUGUGAAAGCCCCCGGCUCAACCGGGGAGGGUCAUUGGAGACUGGGAGACUUGAGUGCAGAAGAGGAGAGUUGAAUUCCAUGUGUGGCGGUGGAGUGCGUAGAUAUAUGGAGGAACACCAGUGGCGAAGGCGGCUCUCUGGUCUGUAACUGACGCUGAGGCUCGAAAGCGUGGGGAGCAAACAGG